GCAUAUCAAUAAGCGGAGGAAAAGAAACUAACCAGGAUUCCCCUAGUAACGGCGAGUGAAGCGGGAAGAGCCCAAUAUGAAAAGCUGGCUGCGCCGUAUGACGCGUGGACCCGCAUUGUAUAUUGAUGGGAUCGUUGCCUCUGGCGCGCGUGCCGGUCAAAGUGCCUUGGAACAGGCCGCCAUGGUGGGUGAUAGCCCCGUGUAUGACCGGUGCAGUGAUGUGUGUGCGCCACCUGACGGUACGAUGCCUUUAGAGUCGGAAUGUUCGGGACUGCAUUCCAAAGUGGGUGGUAAACUCCAUCCAAGGCUAAAUACUGGCGAGAGACCGAUAGCGAACAAGUACCGUAAGGGAAAGUUGAAAAGCACUCUGGAGAGAGAGUCAAACAGUACGUGAAAUUGUUAGCAGGGAAACGUUGGGCGCCAGUACACGGCGAUCUAUGCUCGAUGAUCAGAUGGUGUGUCGCGUGGCCGUGUCGUGCGUCGUGGCGGGUGCUCUCUCUGCACCUUUGGAGAGUGGGCCUUGUGCUUGCCUCACACGAUGCGCCGUGUGCGGUGCACACCAUUGCAUGCAUCGGCAGCCGGGUCAACAUCGGUUGGUGUGCGUAUGCGUUGAACACGCCGUGUGUCAAGGUGAUCACGAUGUCUGCUGCGUGCGGUCCGCAAGGGCUGUGCGACGGCGGUCGCGAUACUUAUAGGGCAUGCGUCGCUUCAAUGCCGCCGACCGAGGAGACAGCGAUUCGCGCACGCAAGUGCAACGGAGCGAUCCCGUGCGGUCCAGGUCGCCCGUGGUGCUCGACAAGCAUCCGUCCUCGCGGACGCGGUGAUUGACGAGUGGCCAUUUUGGCAGGUGGCGCUCGCUGCUUUGCGGCGGCGAUGCGUGUGCCGGUCAGCGGUGAUCGUCGCAUUGGGUGCCGGCUCUCGCGAGUCUAGGACGGUUGACGAAAUGGUGCUCAACGACCCGUCUUGAAACACGGACCA
This 978-nucleotide ribosomal RNA is filed under the name uncultured fungus. RNAcentral describes it as "eukaryotic LSU rRNA". It matches the Rfam family "Eukaryotic large subunit ribosomal RNA", at positions 38 to 668 of the family's 3401-position model. The record is from RNAcentral. Lineage: Eukaryota; Fungi.